CAAAGAAUAGUUUAGUUUAGAAUCCUAGCUUUGGGAGUUAGGGGUGAGAGUUAGAAUCUCUUUUCUUUGA
Molecule: transfer RNA, 70 nt
Filed under: Osphronemus goramy (giant gourami)
Lineage: Eukaryota; Metazoa; Chordata; Actinopteri; Anabantiformes; Osphronemidae
Description: tRNA-Pro
Rfam family: tRNA
About the family: Transfer RNA (tRNA) molecules are approximately 80 nucleotides in length. Their secondary structure includes four short double-helical elements and three loops (D, anti-codon, and T loops). Further hydrogen bonds mediate the characteristic L-shaped molecular structure. tRNAs have two regions of fundamental functional importance: the anti-codon, which is responsible for specific mRNA codon recognition, and the 3' end, to which the tRNAs corresponding amino acid is attached (by aminoacyl-tRNA synthetases). tRNAs cope with the degeneracy of the genetic code in two manners: having more than one tRNA (with a specific anti-codon) for a particular amino acid; and 'wobble' base-pairing, i.e. permitting non-standard base-pairing at the 3rd anti-codon position.
Source: RNAcentral